RNAcentral lists this ribosomal RNA (489 nucleotides) under uncultured bacterium. Its description in RNAcentral is "partial 16S ribosomal RNA". It matches the Rfam family "Bacterial small subunit ribosomal RNA", at positions 28 to 507 of the family's 1533-position model. The record is from RNAcentral.
GACGAACGCUGGCGGCGUGCUUAACACAUGCAAGUCGAACGGUGAAGGGACCAGCUUGCUGGUUCUGGAUGAGUGGCGAACGGGUGAGUAACACGUGAGUAACCUGCCCCCUUCUUCUGGAUAACCGCAUGAAAGUGUGGCUAAUACGGGAUAUUCUGGGUCUGUCGCAUGGCGGGCCCGGGAAAGAUAUUGCUUCGGUGGGGGAUGGGCUCGCGGCCUAUCAGCUUGUUGGUGGGGUGAUGGCCCACCAAGGCGGUGACGGGUAGCCGGCCUGAGAGGGUGGACGGUCACACUGGGACUGAGACACGGCCCAGACUCCUACGGGAGGCAGCAGUGGGGAAUAUUGCACAAUGGGCGCAAGCCUGAUGCAGCGACGCCGCGUGAGGGAUGGAGGCCUUCGGGUUGUAAACCUCUUUCGCCAGUGAAGCAGGCCUGCUCCUUGUGGGUGGGUUGACGGUAGCUGGAUAAGAAGCGCCGGCUAACUACGUG